This 466-nucleotide ribosomal RNA is filed under the name uncultured bacterium. Its description in RNAcentral is "partial 16S ribosomal RNA". It matches the Rfam family "Bacterial small subunit ribosomal RNA", at positions 28 to 507 of the family's 1533-position model. The record is from RNAcentral.
GAUGAACGCUGGCGGCGUGCUUAACACAUGCAAGUCGAACGGAAAGGCUCCUGCUUGCAGGGGUACUCGAGUGGCGAACGGGUGAGUAACACGUGGGUGAUCUGCCCUGCACUUCGGGAUAAGCCUGGGAAACUGGGUCUAAUACCGGAUAGGACGAUGGUUUGGAUGCCAUUGUGGAAAGUUUUUUCGGUGUGGGAUGAGCUCGCGGCCUAUCAGCUUGUUGGUGGGGUAAUGGCCUACCAAGGCGUCGACGGGUAGCCGGCCUGAGAGGGUGUACGGCCACAUUGGGACUGAGAUACGGCCCAGACUCCUACGGGAGGCAGCAGUGGGGAAUAUUGCACAAUGGGCGCAAGCCUGAUGCAGCGACGCCGCGUGGGGGAUGACGGCUUUCGGGUUGUAAACUCCUUUCGCUAGGGACGAAGCGCAAGUGACGGUACCUGGAGAAGAAGCACCGGCUAACUACGUG